GGGCCCUUAGCUCAGCUGGUUAGAGCGGCGGACUCAUAAUCCGUUGGUCGCAGGUUCGAGCCCUGCAGGGCCCA
RNAcentral lists this transfer RNA (74 nucleotides) under Gemmatimonadales bacterium. Its description in RNAcentral is "tRNA-Ile". It matches the Rfam family "tRNA". Rfam says of the family: Transfer RNA (tRNA) molecules are approximately 80 nucleotides in length. Their secondary structure includes four short double-helical elements and three loops (D, anti-codon, and T loops). The record is from RNAcentral. Lineage: Bacteria; Pseudomonadati; Gemmatimonadota; Gemmatimonadia; Gemmatimonadales.